AUGAAUCUUCAUUCAGUGAUUCUGUUCUGUGCAUUUGCUGCUGCUGUCUUUGGAAAUGUCAUCACACCAAACAAAACAGAACAUUUUGCAGAGGAGGGUUCAAAUAUUAUAUUGUCCUGUAGUUAUUCAUCUACAGCUGGAGAUAAUCUGUUCUGGUACCGUCAGUAUGGCAGAUCACAAUCUGAAUUUCUUGUAAUGACCUUCAAUGGUGCAAAAGAAGCUCAGCAGUCUGAUGUAGAUCCAAGACUCUCAGUUACAGUUACACAAAGCGAACAAAACCAUGUGGAUCUAAAGAUCUCCUCAACUAAAGUGACAGACUCUGCUCUGUACUACUGUGCUCUGAGGUCCACAGUGAGAGGAAACCCAUCAGCUCUCUACAAAAACUCAUAA
Molecule: non-coding RNA, 390 nt
Organism: Myxocyprinus asiaticus (Chinese sucker)
Lineage: Eukaryota; Metazoa; Chordata; Actinopteri; Cypriniformes; Catostomidae
Source: the annotation of a RefSeq genome assembly